Molecule: long non-coding RNA, 2952 nt
Filed under: Bos indicus x Bos taurus (hybrid cattle)
Lineage: Eukaryota; Metazoa; Chordata; Mammalia; Artiodactyla; Bovidae
Description: lncRNA (ENSBIXG00000018318.1)
Source: RNAcentral
GCCUUGCAUUUAAUAACCCUCUAGGGCUAAGACAGCUUUGUGUGUAAGUCCACUCGGUGCCAUAUGGCAGUUUUCAAUUCCUUUAGCAACUCAAUUCUAGCUAGACUGCCCGCAAUGAUUCAUUCUUAAAGGAAGACCCCUUGGGGCUCAGUAAUGCCCCCUCCACUUACCUAGCUCCCACCGACCCCGCUCGGCAGGCGGCUCGGGCUCCACAAAGAGCUGUGGGAUUCCCCGCUCCCUCCGGGGCUCCUCUCCCCGCGACGGUCCCCUUCGCCAAUGAUCUGUCGCUGGAAAUCCCCCUCCCCUCCACGGAGAGGAGGGUCUCCCCGGCUGGCUGGAGCUCUUGCCUUUUUUUUUUUUUUCCACCCUCUCUUUACAUGCCUGACUCUGGUUCACGAUCUCUAGUAGGAAGGCUCAACGGAGAGGCGGCGGGAGGAAGGAAGCUAAGGCAUCCUUAAAAAGAACAAUAAUCUUCAGAGAUCUUCACCCCCUUCCCCAUCGCGGGUCCCCAUUCCCCUGCCGCCGCCGGCGGCGCCCAGACCAGAGAGGGCUGGGAUAGAAAAGGAAAAAAAAUCGAGCCGGGCUCAGCUCGCCGCGCGGAAGGAGCCGGGAAGGCGAGCGGCUCCAGCCGGGGGAGUUGUCGCUCGCUCGGGCUGCCCGCGGCGCGGCGGCCGGCGGGGGCGCAGGGCGGUGGGUGCUUGGUGGGUGUGUGUCUGUGGCGGAGCCGGGGAGAGGCUGGGCGCGGGAGGCGAGGCGGGGCGCUCGGGGGCGCCGGCUCGGGCGCGCACACCCGCCCGCGGCCACCCCGCCUCGCGCUCCGCCUCCUCCCGCGCUCCGCGCGCCCGCGGACUGGAGCGGCGGCCGCCGCCGCCGCCGCCUUCUCCUCCUCUUCCUGGGCGCCCGCAGCUCUCGAGAGAACUGUGCCAAGUUCCUCCUUGGAGAGGCAGCCAGAUGGACACCCAGAACUUUCCGUAUCUUCGUGUCGAGACUGCAACUCUAUACAGAAAAGAAAAAGGCAAAUGCACCUCACAGAGAACUGGGACACUGUGAAUCAUCUACUUUUGAAUUCUUAAAAUUGGAAAUUAGAAACUUAUGAAGGAUUUGUAGCUAUGCUUGGGAAAUAGUGAAUUUAAAUCUAUCUGUCCGUCUAUGUGCUGUGCUUGGUCGUUCAGUCAUGUCUGACUCUUUGAGGCCCCGUGAACUGUAGCCCACUAGGUUCCUCUGCCCAUGGAAUUUCCCAGGCAAGAAUACUGGAGACGGAGGAUCUUCCCGACUCGGGAAUCUAACCUGCAUCUUUUGCAUCUCCUGCAUUGGCAGGCAGAUUCUUUACCACCAGUGCCACCUGGGAGGCAUAUUUUCUAUGGCACUGUCCCAUUAAUUUAUUUAUUUGUAUAGUCAGUCAGUCAUUCUGGAAUAUUUUGAGCCUCUACUGUAUGCCAGGUUCUAUUGCUGUUCAUGGAUAAUGCAAAAGUGGGCAUGUUGGACAUGAUUUAUGUAUGCACGAAGUUUACAUUCUGGUGAAGGAGCAAACAGCCCACUCUUAAAAAAACACACAGAGAAAAAUGUGUAUUAAUAAGCGGUCUGAAGAAAUUAAUAGUUUGAGAAAGAAACUAAGAGAGGGUGACCUAUUUUUGACAGAGGGGUCAGGGAUAGCAUAAGAGUCAUAUCAGAUGAAAUUGGAAGUGGAGGAACCAUUCCAGAGAUGGUGGGGAACCAUUCCAGAGAGUAGAGAGGGCCAGUGGUGAUAAGGAGCAACAAGGUAUGGACACCUCUGUGGUGCUUGCUGAUUGGGUGAUGUGAGGUCAACAGAGAUUUAUUGGUUUGCUUUAAGGGAGAUAUUAGAGUCUACAAGUGUGCUGAUGAAAAAUGACCUGAUGGAAAUUGACUGGUGAGGCAAGAGUGUGUGCUUUACCGAGGGAGCAGAGCCCUUUGGAUAGUGAGGAUGUGUGGCUGAGUGGCUGUCAGGGAACAGGACUUGAUGGGAGGAGAACAUCCACCGAGGAGGAUGCAGAAUGUGAGUUGUGAAGCUCUGGUGGAAGGAAGGGGAGGGGCUCUGUGUCUGAUGGUUUCUCUUUGCUCAGUGAAAUAUGAGAGAAGAUGCAGCUGUGAGAGAGAGUUGUGGGGUUGUGUGAAAGAAACGAGAGAGAUGUGAAGUCACAUGGAGCCUCCCAGACAAACACUGACACUUUUGAUGUGGUUACAUCCCAUCAUUAUAGGAUGUUUAGCAAAUUCCCUGGUGGCUCAGGUGGUAAAGAAUCUACUUACAGUUCAGGAGACCCAGGUUUGAUAUCUGUGUCAAAAAGAUCCCCUACAUGGCAACCCAUUCCAGUAUUCUUGUCUGGAGAAUCCCAUGGACAGAGGAGCCUAGUGGGCUACAGUCCAUGGGAUCGCACAGAGGUGGACACAACUGAGCAACUAACACUUUCACACUAGCGAAAUCCUUGACCUGUACCAGGUAGAUACCAGCAAAACUUCCAUUGAGUCAUGGAAACAGAAGGUAUCUCUAGACAUUGACAUAUAUACCCCGGAGGAAAAAACUGCCUGUUUGAGAAUCACUGCCCUAAAGCUACCACCAAAAAAAGAAAGUAUAACUAAUAAGCCAUGGAGAAGAUGAAAUGGCGUAAGAAAUACUGGAUUAGUUCAAAAGAAGGUUGGAAACAAAGGGAUAAAGGAACAAAGAAUAGAUGAAACAAAUAGAAAACGACUGUGAAGAGGAUGGAUUUAAAUCCAAUUAUAGUCAUCAUUAUGCUAAAUUUAGGUGGUCUAAACAUCCUGAUUAAAAGACAAAGAUUAUCAAAUUGAAUCUAAAUGUAAGACUCAAUUAUAUGUGCCUACAGGAAAAUCCAAUUUAAAUAGACAGAUGUAGAUGUUAAAAGAGAAAAGACAGAAACUGUACAUAGCAUGGAAAAACUAAUUAUGAGAAAGCUGGAAUAAAUAUGUUAAUAUGAGACA